This 492-nucleotide ribosomal RNA is filed under the name uncultured bacterium. Its description in RNAcentral is "partial 16S ribosomal RNA". It matches the Rfam family "Bacterial small subunit ribosomal RNA", at positions 29 to 507 of the family's 1533-position model. The record is from RNAcentral.
AGUGAACGCUGGCGGCAGGCUUAACACAUGCAAGUCGAACGGCAGCGCACUAAGAGUUUGCUCUUACGGGUGGGGAGUGGCGGGAGGAAGAGGUGAGUAACCGACUCUACUUUUUCGUGGAGGAUAAGGAAGGGGAAGUUACGCUAAUAUCGCAUCUGCUCUACGGGUGAAAGCAGGGGAUCUUCGGUCCUUGUGCGGUUGAAUGAGCCGCUGUCGGAUUAGCUAGUGGGCGGGGUAAAGGCCCACCAAGGCGACGAUCCGUGGCUGGUCUGAGAGGAUGAUCGGCCACACUGGAACAUAGACACGGUCCAGAGUCCUACGGGAGGCAGCAGUGGGGAAUAUUGGACAAUGGGCGCAAGCCUGAUCCAGCCAUACCGCGUGGGUGAAGAAGACCUUCGGGUUGUAAAGCCCUUUUGUUGGGAAAGAAAAGCAGCAGGUUAAUACCCCGCUGUUCUGACGGUACCCAAAGAAUAAGCACCGGCUAACUUCGUG